GGUCCACCCCCAGGAGGGCUCCAAGCAGACGUUCCCCACCUGUUUGUCUUUGCCCAGUACCUGUGUUACCUAGGUAACUGGCACAGCCUGAGGCAGUUACCUCCCCAUUCUCUGAGAUCACGUCCAAUCCACCUGGCCGUACCUCUUGCCUUUCCCUAUAUAAUCCAACUCAGCAAGAGUCUCUUUCCCUCUCCC
Long non-coding RNA from Perognathus longimembris pacificus (Pacific pocket mouse), 195 nucleotides. RefSeq lists it as uncharacterized. The record is from RefSeq and is a predicted model, not a curated record. The transcript is spliced from 3 exons. Lineage: Eukaryota; Metazoa; Chordata; Mammalia; Rodentia; Heteromyidae.